Suricata suricatta (meerkat) is the source of this 383-nucleotide long non-coding RNA. RefSeq lists it as uncharacterized. Lineage: Eukaryota; Metazoa; Chordata; Mammalia; Carnivora; Herpestidae. The record is from RefSeq and is a predicted model, not a curated record. The transcript has 2 exons.
GCUGAAUUACAUUGCCUGGGAGAAGCAUCCUUCCACCAACCCAUACCCUGGCUACUGUGGGACUCUGUUAGCAAGCACGGGAUAUCUGAAAUGGAAAGAUUUUAGCUGUGGUUCGUUGCUACCUUAUAUCUGCAAGUUCAAGGACUAGGUCUGGUGGGACGUCAGGAGCCUGAGUUUUGCGUGCAGCUCAUCAUGGACAUGGAACCAAGUGUGACAAUACACCCUAGAAGGGAAUAGUCUCCCAUACCUUCAAAGUUGACCACCUCACUUGACCUAACCUUCUCCUCAGCCCCUUCUCCUCCGCCUCAUUUCAAACUCUACUGUAUCUUCUAUAUAAUGAGAUUCAACAGGCAAAAUAAAAAAAUAAGAAAUUUGGUCAGCAA